GAUGAACGCUGGCGGCGUGCCUAAUACAUGCCAGUCGAGCGAACAGACGAGGAGCUUGCUCCUCUGACUUUAGCGUCGGACAGGUGAGUAACACGUGUAUAACCUACCUAUAAGACUGGGAUAACUUCGGGAAACCGGAGCUAAUACCGGAUAAUAUAUUGAACCGCAUGGUUCAAUAGUGAAAGACGGUUUUGCUGUCACUUAUAGAUGGAUCCGCGCCGCAUUAGCUAGUUGGUAAGGUAACGGCUUACCAAGGCGACGAUGCGUAGCCGACCUGAGAGGGUGACCGGCCACACUGGAACUGAGACACGGUCCAGACUCCUACGGGAGGCAGCAGUAGGGAAUAUUCCGCAAUGGGCGAAAGCCUGACGGAGCAACGCCGCGUGAGUGAUGAAGGUCUUCGGAUCGUAAAACUCUGUUAUUAGGGAAGAACAAAUGUGUAAGUAACUAUGCACGUAUUGACGGUACCUAAUCAGAAAGCCACGGCUAACUACGUG
RNAcentral lists this ribosomal RNA (497 nucleotides) under uncultured bacterium. RNAcentral's name for it is "partial 16S ribosomal RNA". It matches the Rfam family "Bacterial small subunit ribosomal RNA", at positions 28 to 507 of the family's 1533-position model. The record is from RNAcentral.